Long non-coding RNA from Triticum dicoccoides, 251 nucleotides. RefSeq lists it as uncharacterized. The transcript has 3 exons. The record is from RefSeq and is a predicted model, not a curated record. NCBI's taxonomy places the organism in Eukaryota, Viridiplantae, Streptophyta, Magnoliopsida, Poales, Poaceae.
UCAUUGAUUCCGGUGUCGCUCUCAUCAAGGGAGGUUUAUUUGACCACGGGAGCCUCGUAAAUGCCAUCAAGGGUGCAGAUGUCGUGAUCUCGGCCGUGGGGACCCCUCAGCUCGACGAGCAGACGAGGAUUGUCAUGGCCAUCAAGGAGGCCGGCAAUGUCAUCAAGAGGUUCCUGCCGUCUGAGUUCGGCUCUGACCCAGAGCGGGUUCACCCCGUGGAUCCAGCGACCACACUUUACGCUGGUAAAAUC